Triticum dicoccoides is the source of this 2032-nucleotide long non-coding RNA. RefSeq lists it as uncharacterized. NCBI's taxonomy places the organism in Eukaryota, Viridiplantae, Streptophyta, Magnoliopsida, Poales, Poaceae. The record is from RefSeq and is a predicted model, not a curated record. The transcript is spliced from 3 exons.
AUCCAAGUGGGUUGAGUUGCGGUUUGGUUGGAGAUGUUGGUGUUGUUUGAGACGCCCACUGGGUUCGCCAUUUUCAAGGUUCUGAAUGAGGGCAAGCUCGACAAGAUCGAGGGUCUAUGGAAGGAGUUCACCACGUUAGAACUUGGCGAGAAAGGUUUCUGCUUAAUUUUUUAUUCUUUCGACUGCAAAAUAACUUCUUUUUUGAAACACUUAGUGAAUGAUCUAUCUAUCACAUUAUAAUAGAGCAAGCCAGCAAAUGCCCUUUAUUUGAAUGAGCAAGAAUCUGUGGUGUGCCCCUGAGUUAUAUGUCCCUUUUCCAAAUGUUAAAAAGGUUAUCUUAACUUAUUUGUCGCAUAGAAGUUGGUUUGGGAAACUAGGCUCAUUGGAUGUUUGCAUGACUUCUUUGAACUGCAAGGAACACCCCAUAACUGAACUCAGUUAAGCAGGCUGAUAGAUGAUAUCUUGUCUGCACAGUGGAUUGCCUAGAAUACUGGACUUUUCACCAACUUAAAAAAAUGACAAGUGACAUUCAUGACUGCACUUACUUUUUGUAGCCUGUUUGCUCAAAAUAAUAAGAGGCUGAAUGGUUCAGUUAGAGGCUGAAAUGUUUCUUCCUGGUGAUAUCCAUUGUAAUUUUUGAUAGGGAUAUAUAUAAAGUUCUUGAUAAGAUGUUGAGAUAACUCAUAUGCCUCUCAGUCCUAUUUCUUAUAUUCUUUUUACAUUGUACUGACUUAAUGCAACUCUCUCAAUUUAACUUCGAGUAAAUAGGCUCAAAGUUCAGCUCCAAGGAAUAAGCAGGUUAUAGAAUGUAGACAAGUGCUGCAAUGAACAUAUGCGUAUGGAUAUUAUCUUGAUGAUAAAGAAGGGCCACAAGAUGAUGCAAAUGAACAUGUUUGCUGCAGGUGACCAGGUCCAUAGGAGAGAUGCUUACGUUUUGUAUGGAUGUAUAUAGUUGCGCUAUAUUGGUGUGUAUGGAAGCUACAGUACCUUGCCAGUCCUUGGUGAAGGUAGUUUGAACCUUUGCCCAGUUCCCUUCUAUGUGCGUUUGAAUUUUUUGAUAGGUGAAAAACCCUUUUGUAACUUUAAUGCUCUAAUUGGAUUGGUCAAACAUGAGCAUAAAUAUAAUGAUAAGGUGCACACAAAUUGAAGUCUUAGAUUAAUGGUCUGAAUAUAACUAAGCAAUAGUCCUACUAGGAUGUUGUUUUAAGUACUUACGAGACAAUAUCAGAGGGAUGCAAUGGCUAAAAUAUGUAUGGUUUGUUAGCUUGGAGCAAGAACUGUGAUGGUCAUCUUUCAUGUACCUUCAUAAUAUUAUUAAAUGCUCAAAUUGUUGCAAAAUAUCAUGGUUAGCCUAUUGAUGUUGCAGUGCAUAAUAUGAUUAUUAUUGAAAAGGAGCAUCAGAACAUCCCAUAUGGCUUACUAUAUAUGUUCACUUGCAUCUUAGCAGCAACAUGUGAUUAAGCUCAUACAAGUUGAAAUUUGUUAUUUGUGGAUGCAUGCCUAGGCAAUCAUAUGACUGAUGCAUUCUAACCUAACCUAUAAGGAGGCUAGCCAACUUGCCUCCAUGGAGCUCCCCAGAUUGGCCCCUUUCUGGGUGUUCUAUCACGGUGAAUUUCCCACCUCUUGUCCCCCAGCCGUUAGAUAUUGAUCGUAUGUUUUACCUUGUUUUUUACACAUGUAUGACCAGUGGACCAGUUCAUUGGUGGGGCCAGUGUUUAUUUAUUAAGUCACCAGACAUUGAGAUCUGGAACAUUGCAGAGCAAUAAUUGAAGGAAGUAUUAGAUGAGUUUGGGAAGACAUGGUUGUGUAUGUAGUAUUUUCACCAUGAGGUUACCAUUGCUCGGCUCCUGACAGUAUGAUGCCUCAAUUAGAUUUUCUUAUCCCGGUGUGUUUGUAAUGUACUCGGAAAAUUAGUUUGCUUUCUUUUUGCUCCCUUGAGAAUGCAUCCUGAAUUAGUAUGAUAGCAGUCAAGCAAAAAUGGCUUACUGUUGAUACAAAUAUAACUUCGAUUACUCCUACUUUGCUAUUUUAU